AUGAACGCUGGCGGCGUGCCUAACACAUGCAAGUCGAACGAAGCACCUUACCUGAUUCUUCGGAUGAAAGUUUGGUGACUGAGUGGCGGACGGGUGAGUAACGCGUGGGUAACCUGCCCUGUACAGGGGGAUAACAGCUGGAAACGGCUGCUAAUACCGCAUAAGCGCACGAGGAGACAUCUCCUUGUGUGAAAAACUCCGGUGGUACAGGAUGGGCCCGCGUCUGAUUAGCUGGUUGGGAGGGUAACGGCCUACCAAGGCAACGAUCAGUAGCCGGUAAGUGAGGAUGAACGCACACACUGGAGCUGAGACACAGUCCAGACUCCUACGGGAGGCAGCAGUGGGGAAUAUUGCAAAAUGGGGGAAGCCCUGAUGCAGCAACGCCGCGUAAGUGAAGAAGUAUUUCGGGAUGUAAAGCUCUAUCAGCAGGGAAGAUAAUGACGGUACCUAACCAAGAAGCUCCGGCUAAAUACGUG
Molecule: ribosomal RNA, 476 nt
Filed under: uncultured bacterium
Lineage: Bacteria
Description: partial 16S ribosomal RNA
Rfam family: Bacterial small subunit ribosomal RNA
Source: RNAcentral